This 244-nucleotide ribosomal RNA is filed under the name uncultured bacterium. RNAcentral describes it as "partial 16S ribosomal RNA". It matches the Rfam family "Bacterial small subunit ribosomal RNA", at positions 96 to 334 of the family's 1533-position model. The record is from RNAcentral.
CGGCGAACGGGUGAGUAACACGUGGGUAAUCUGCCCUCGGCACCGGGAUAGCCCGGGGAAACUCGGAUUAAUACCGGAUUGCCUCCGGAGCCUUCGGGCACCGGAGAAAAGGAGGCUUCGGCUUCCGGCUGAGGAUGAGCCCGCGGCGGAUUAGCUUGUUGGUGGGGUAACGGCCCACCAAGGCGACGAUCCGUAGCUGGUCUGAGAGGACGAUCAGCCACACUGGGACUGAGACACGGCCCAG